This 465-nucleotide ribosomal RNA is filed under the name Vreelandella stevensii. RNAcentral describes it as "partial 16S ribosomal RNA". It matches the Rfam family "Bacterial small subunit ribosomal RNA", at positions 338 to 795 of the family's 1533-position model. The record is from RNAcentral. Lineage: Bacteria; Pseudomonadati; Pseudomonadota; Gammaproteobacteria; Oceanospirillales; Halomonadaceae.
CCUACGGGUGGCAGCAGUGGGGAAUAUUGGACAAUGGGCGAAAGCCUGAUCCAGCCAUGCCGCGUGUGUGAAGAAGGCCUUCGGGUUGUAAAGCACUUUCAGUGGGGAAGAAAGCCUUGGGGCUAAUACCCUCGAGGAAGGACAUCACCCACAGAAGAAGCACCGGCUAACUCCGUGCCAGCAGCCGCGGUAAUACGGAGGGUGCGAGCGUUAAUCGGAAUUACUGGGCGUAAAGCGCGCGUAGGUGGUCUGAUAAGCCGGUUGUGAAAGCCCCGGGCUCAACCUGGGAACGGCAUCCGGAACUGUCAGGCUAGAGUGCAGGAGAGGAAGGUAGAAUUCCCGGUGUAGCAGUGAAAUGCGUAGAGAUCGGGAGGAAUACCAGUGGCGAAGGCGGCCUUCUGGACUGACACUGACGCUGAGGUGCGAAAGCGUGGGUAGCAAACAGGAUUAGAUACCCCAGUAGUC